Molecule: long non-coding RNA, 1661 nt
Filed under: Homo sapiens (human)
Lineage: Eukaryota; Metazoa; Chordata; Mammalia; Primates; Hominidae
Description: HSALNT0192737
Source: RNAcentral
AAGCAGGUCACCAUGAAGUAAGAGCAUGUCUUAUCUUUGCAUGUCAAGCAUUAUUUUGUGUUUCACUUUUAUAGGAGAAGAAAAAGAGACAUUAUGUCAUUCUUCUGAUUGUGAAUUUAAUUAAAAUCCUGAUUCCUGGAUGGUAUCGUGGGCCUAUUGAAUGAGAAUCUCUGGAGCUAGAACUGGAAAUCUGCAUUUUAACAAAUAAGUCUGGUGAUUUUUAGCAUUCUAACAUUGGAGAACUACUGGUGCUGGAGAGUUCAGAUGACCAAUGGUGAAUUUUAUCUCACAUUACUAGCUUCUUCAGUUUUCUUCCCCUCAGUGCUCAGGCCACACAGCAUGUCCUGUGGGACUGGAGAAAUAUGGAGAAUGCAGCACACUUGCUUCCUACUGAAGAAAUCCCUGAAAAACCAGAUGGCAGAAGUUACUCAGAAGAAAUGAAAGGAUUUUCCAUUAUUCAAAUAGGAGGUGGAAGAGGAAGUGUGGGAGUAAUUACUGGAUUAAGAUCACUGAAAGACAAGAUUGUCUUUAAGGAAACAGAAGACUGAGAAGAAAAGAAGCUUGCUCAAGGUCACAUAGAGCUGGAAUUUAAAUUCAGAUCUAUUAUACUCUUAAGGACUGUGGAAGGAGCAAAAUCUGAUCCAGAGACUGUGGAUGCUGGAGGAGCGUCAAGGCUGGGAAAGUAACAUGCACUGUGUUCGCAAUCAACAGAAAAGAUAUUUUUAAACAAAAACAAUUUUCCAAGUUUCCAGGAAGAGAAACAAAAGGCUUUUCUAAAAUGAAAGAAACUGUUCUUCUCAUUCUGUGACUUUUAUGUCACUUGGACAACAAGCCAGUGCUUAGGAACGGUUAUUUUCCUGUCGACAUCGCUGCAUGGAUACUUCUUAGAAGAACAUAACAGCAUUAGCACUCAGUCCCAGGUUCUGCUCACCCUCCAAUGGCAGUCGUCUUCAAAAACAAUAAAGAUAUCUGUGCUUGGUCUCUCUGUCUUGAUUACACUGCAGGCACAACCUGUGUGGGGAAACAAUAUCCUGGAUCAUACUGAAGGUUCGCACAGAUGGAACAUUAGUGGGAGGGGUUGCCAGCUACUUCCCUGCCAACUUGUUAGUGCUGGAGACAUUAUCCUCUUAUUUUGCCAGUUUAACAGAAGAUCAGUCGUAAAGAUUCACUGUAGGCUCAGCAACAUAAUUAUUAUCUAUGGUCUCUGCAUUAACUGUGAGAAAACAUCAUAGUCUGAAUCUGCCUAAUUUCAAAUGCCAAGCUGUGCCCACAUUCAGCCCACAACUGAACCUGAAUACUCAAUAUAUCCUUAGCAUUGCUACUGUUGUCAUCAUGGUGGAUGUUAAGUACAGGUUUGCCCAAGCUAUGAUGUUUAAUUGUUGCCUUACUGCUUCUGUAUUUCUUCUGUUUCCCUGACCCUUUUCAACACCAGCCCCAUGCAAUUUAAAACUAUUAAAAAGGUAAAAAUCGGUGUCACAUUUAGUUCUGCUACUCAGUACAGAAGUGCCAAGCCCCUGCAAAUCUGGAAAACAAACUCCUUAACAGAUGGGCCACAUAAAGUUUACAACAUGUGCAAUGUGGGAGGUAGUAUGGCUCUGGGCAAGAAACAGAAGACUGGAAGUUUGGGAGCUCAGGGUUUUUGAAUUUGCUUUUGCUUUUUG